Coffea arabica (coffee) is the source of this 808-nucleotide long non-coding RNA. RefSeq lists it as uncharacterized. Lineage: Eukaryota; Viridiplantae; Streptophyta; Magnoliopsida; Gentianales; Rubiaceae. The record is from RefSeq and is a predicted model, not a curated record.
UGAAACUCUAUUCCACAAAAUCCCACCCAAAUUGACUCGUUAUGACUAUUCAUUUCAAUUCUUCAAACAAAAAACUCUUUUUAGUCUCCCUCCAAAAAGUUGUCAAUAUUCAUCCACAACUUUAGAACUGAAGCAAAAUACAAUCAGUGAGUAGGAAAGUGGUAGACAAGGGAAGGAAGAAGAGAAGUCAAAAUAUACUUAGGAAAAGGAAGAACUACCUAUUGAAGGAGAAAGUCUUGGAGGCCUAAUAUCUAUAAAGACUUGAGGAAAGUUAGGACCAAACAAUGAAGCUAAAGAUGAUGGAGUCCGAAGCAAUGACACCCAAUCGCAUCUACGUAAACCCUACAGAUGACAUGAAGGAGAUCGAGAUUGGAGAAAUGCUAGCUUAGGAGUUGUUUAAUUUGGCUACCAAAUGUCAUAGAGGAUUCUAAAGAUUGAAGAUACUUUGCAUACCAAGGCCAAAGCAUCAUCCAGCAAGCCCAAAUCAACGAACAAAGGGAAAAAAUCACUACAGGAAACAAAGGUUGCAAAUCUAAAAUCAAACGACAAAAAUUCUGAAUAUGAAUGUGAAAAAGAAAGGGAUGACGACAAAGAUGCCGAAGAAGAUGUUUCCGAUGAAAACGAUGAUGAAGGCAUAGAUGAGGGAGCAUCUGGAGUCAAGCAAUUUAGGAUUCCUAAUUUAAAAUGAAAUAAAUUGUUUCUGAUCAUUGUAACAUUACCUAAACAAGUUGUAACUCCUUAUUAAUUGCUUGUACAAAUUCACAAUAUAAGUGUGAUAAAUUUAGCAGCUGUUUCUGUGGGUUUCAUG